RNAcentral lists this long non-coding RNA (408 nucleotides) under Pelobates cultripes (western spadefoot toad). The record is from RNAcentral. Lineage: Eukaryota; Metazoa; Chordata; Amphibia; Anura; Pelobatidae.
UAGAAGUUUACAUUUUUUAGAUACAUUGCUGGAGGUUGUGUUUGUAGAAUACCCGGUAUUUGUUGUUGAGUAUAGGUUGUAGAGUCCAGCUAUCCAAGUAUUUGGCUAGAAUUGGUCGCAGAUAUUGAAUCAGCAUCAUCUGUUUUCACCGUGGUGAUGGAUUUGGUAUUUGUCUUUGUCUUUUUUUAUUUUGGUUUUUCCAUUAAACAUUUUUACACCGUUUAUGAUGUGUAUAGAUUGGAUACUCUCCGAUAUUCUUUUACGGAAUCAAUUAAUUGACAGCAUUUCCAAGACAUUGUCUUAAGUGACAUGGUUCCCAUUAUAGUAAAUGUUAUGUUGAUACAGCAAUCGAAGUGGAUUCUCAAGUACGCCUCCUUUUGCGGUAAUGGAAUCUUUGUAACAUCUCAG